This is a long non-coding RNA of Tarenaya hassleriana, 369 nucleotides long. RefSeq lists it as uncharacterized. NCBI's taxonomy places the organism in Eukaryota, Viridiplantae, Streptophyta, Magnoliopsida, Brassicales, Cleomaceae. The transcript is spliced from 3 exons. The record is from RefSeq and is a predicted model, not a curated record.
ACAAUUACACGUAAUUAUCGAGAGAAUACAGAGGAAACCCACCUUUCCUCUCGUCGGAAAAACUCUCCAACAUUGGAAAUAAUUAAUACUCCUUGCAUCAGUUUUUCAUCCCUUUGUCCUUCGGUGACAUAGCUCGGAGGUGCAAAACAAAAGUUACACCGAGAGCUAGUACAAGGCAAAAAUAAGGUCGUGAGCAGCAGUAGCCGCGGAGCGGACAUCGGAGACCUGGGCAGCUUACCACUACUGAUCAUGUAUAAUUACGUAUUUUGAUACACUUAUAUUCUGGGGGAACGGUUUGUAUUAUAUCGGUGGUAGACUGUUUCAGUUUGUAAUAAUGUUAUACUACCACUCGACUAUGUAUAAUUAUAA